GGAUAUGUGCCCGAAUUUAAGGACUACUUUGAUAGAGUAGAUAAUAGAGGUUAAAGUCCUCUCAUUUCCU
This 70-nucleotide transfer RNA is filed under the name Chimaera phantasma (silver chimaera). RNAcentral describes it as "tRNA-Ile". It matches the Rfam family "tRNA". Rfam says of the family: Transfer RNA (tRNA) molecules are approximately 80 nucleotides in length. Their secondary structure includes four short double-helical elements and three loops (D, anti-codon, and T loops). Further hydrogen bonds mediate the characteristic L-shaped molecular structure. tRNAs have two regions of fundamental functional importance: the anti-codon, which is responsible for specific mRNA codon recognition, and the 3' end, to which the tRNAs corresponding amino acid is attached (by aminoacyl-tRNA synthetases). tRNAs cope with the degeneracy of the genetic code in two manners: having more than one tRNA (with a specific anti-codon) for a particular amino acid; and 'wobble' base-pairing, i.e. permitting non-standard base-pairing at the 3rd anti-codon position. Lineage: Eukaryota; Metazoa; Chordata; Chondrichthyes; Chimaeriformes; Chimaeridae. The record is from RNAcentral.